ACAAGGGGUGCAAGCCCAGGAAGAAUUGUCCAAACAGAGCAGGAAGGGUGUAAUGGAUCGGGGAGGUGCGAAUAGAAAGUAUUUAGGCCUCAAGCCCAAACGCAAGCAUCCAGGUCACCGGAUCCAGUUCACCACGCAUGAAGCCUUAACACCACAAUUUCAAAAUCCAAGAUCAAUCACACGAAUUUGAAUUCAUCUUCAUCUUCACCGGCAGUUCGAACGAAAUCCAUGAAGAAAUUCAACUCUGAAUCCAAGGUGGAGCUUCGCUAACCCAAAUCAUUGAAUUCAUCAUUCGUCUUCACCAAAUUAGAAUUGAUCCACUGAAAUCGAGUUGCAUGCGGAAUGGUAGAAGCAAGAAUAAAAAGAGUACUUACCUAAUAGAAAUGAAAGGAUGCUCCGAUGCGAUGAUUCUCCGACGGAAAUAGGUUGUUGCAAUACAGAUUUUGCUUAGAAUUUGGCAGGAAUUCAAGGCAUUAAAGUGGUGCUAUCAUGACAUUCAAGAGUGAUGGCUAGCUAGCACAUGAAGGAAGCUUGGAAUGUGAAGUCAAGUAUUUGGAAGAAUGAAGGACCAAGGUGAAACUAGGCAUUAGGUUCAGAAGUCAAGUUAGUUGACUUUGAUCAAGGUUGACAAAAAAGUCAACCAUUGACCAAAGUCAACAUUUAGUCAAAGUUGCUAUUUUUUGUAAUAAUCUUUGUAUGAAUGUUGUAAAUUGUAAUAUAUGAAUGAAAUGUACUCUUUUAUCUCAA
Lathyrus oleraceus (garden pea) is the source of this 747-nucleotide long non-coding RNA. RefSeq lists it as uncharacterized. NCBI's taxonomy places the organism in Eukaryota, Viridiplantae, Streptophyta, Magnoliopsida, Fabales, Fabaceae. The transcript has 2 exons. The record is from RefSeq and is a predicted model, not a curated record.